GGCUGUUUCUGUGUCCACAGGUCAGGCCCACAGGAAGAGGGAGUGGCAGAGUGGUCAUCAGUCGUUCUCCUGUGAACAAGAGCUCAACAGGAAAUAACAUACUUGCUGUCCUUGGUGGAGGGCUUGAGCUCGAGACUUGACCCAAAGCCUUAAGUCCAACCCCAACCUGACAAGUCUGAGCAAGAACGCGAGAGAAAGCGAGAGGAAAGAAGUCAUCAAGUCAUCACAGCGACAUUUGCUUUGUUUUUAUAUGACCAAUCUGUAUAUAUGUAUAUAUCAUUUGAAUAAAUGAAAUGCUUUUAAACAGUCUCGGCCUUUGAGAAAACUUGUGAAAAAAGUGAAAAGGCAAAGACCUAUUUUUGUGAUAAAACUAAAUAAAAAUGUAAAUAAGAAU
Molecule: long non-coding RNA, 394 nt
Organism: Megalobrama amblycephala (Wuchang bream)
Lineage: Eukaryota; Metazoa; Chordata; Actinopteri; Cypriniformes; Xenocyprididae
Exons: 2
Source: RefSeq, a predicted model, not a curated record